Molecule: ribosomal RNA, 497 nt
Filed under: uncultured bacterium
Lineage: Bacteria
Description: partial 16S ribosomal RNA
Rfam family: Bacterial small subunit ribosomal RNA
Source: RNAcentral
GAUGAACGCUGGCGGCGUGCCUAAUACAUGCAAGUCGAGCGAACGGACGAGAAGCUUGCUUCUCUGAUGUUAGCGGCGGACGGGUGAGUAACACGUGGGGAACCUACCUAUAAGGCUGGGAUAACUUCGGGAAACCGGAGCUAAUAACGGAUAAUAUUUUGAACCGCAUGGUUCAAAAGUGAAAGACGGUCUUGCUGUCACUUAUAGAUGGAUCCGCGCUGCAUUAGCUAGUUGGUAAGGUAACGGCUUACCAAGGCAACGAUGCAUAGCCGACCUGAGAGGGUGAUCGGCCACACUGGAACUGAGACACGGUCCAGACUCCUACGGGAGGCAGCAGUAGGGAAUCUUCCGCAAUGGGCGAAAGCCUGACGGAGCAACGCCGCGUGAGUGAUGAAGGUCUUCGGAUCGUAAAACUCUGUUAUUAGGGAAGAACAUAUGUGUAAGUAACUGUGCACAUCUUGACGGUACCUAAUCAGAAAGCCACGGCUAACUACGUG